GGUUAAGCGACUAAGCGUACACGGUGGAUGCCCUGGCAGUCAGAGGCGAUGAAGGACGUGCUAAUCUGCGAUAAGCGUCGGUAAGGUGAUAUGAACCGUUAUAACCGGCGAUUUCCGAAUGGGGAAACCCAGUGUGAUUCGUCACACUAUCAUUAACUGAAUCCAUAGGUUAAUGAGGCGAACCGGGGGAACUGAAACAUCUAAGUACCCCGAGGAAAAGAAAUCAACCGAGAUUCCCCCAGUAGCGGCGAGCGAACGGGGAGGAGCCCAGAGCCUGAAUCAGUGUGUGUGUUAGUGGAAGCGUCUGGAAAGGCGCGCGAUACAGGGUGACAGC
RNAcentral lists this ribosomal RNA (334 nucleotides) under Escherichia coli. RNAcentral's name for it is "partial 23S ribosomal RNA". It matches the Rfam family "Bacterial large subunit ribosomal RNA", at positions 1 to 371 of the family's 2925-position model. The record is from RNAcentral. RNAcentral also lists the same sequence under 1 other name. Lineage: Bacteria; Pseudomonadati; Pseudomonadota; Gammaproteobacteria; Enterobacterales; Enterobacteriaceae.